UGUAUGGUUUAUACACGUAUAUAUAUAUAUAUAUAAAUGAAUAUGGGCAUAAUAGAGUUGAAUUGUUCAACUCAUUAGGUCCAAUUAAGUCUAAUAAUUUCGAGUGUCGCACCGGUGUUUCUUUCGAGCAUUGGCGGCUAGCAUCGCUGAUCUUGAAGACUCGUCGACAAAGUUGGUGUGGAUACUUGUAGAAACGUCACGCGUGGGACGCCCGGUCGACAAUUUUAAAUAUUCCAGGUGUACAGCUAAGAACUUGGUACGUGUCAUCUUUAUCGUCUAAAUGAAGAUUUAGGCGUGUCAUUUGUGAUCCCUACAGGACAUGGGGUUCCUCACCGUUAUGUUUUGACGAUGAUUGAUGAAGAGAAGUCCAAUCUCAAGAGGCCCGAUCCGGAUUAUUGAAGACCCAAAUAAGAUAUUGAUAUUGAUGGGUAGGGGAAGUCAAGUUUCAUUAGUGAAGUAGGUGAAAUAGUUGUUGAGUCCCUAAUUAUGAUAUAAGUAGACUAAAUUCGGAUUAAGAGAGGUAGUUGAGUCUAUCUAAUUGAUUUUCAUUCUCAAUGAUGUAAUUAAUGUUUUUAGUUGGCCAUGGGUAGUGGUUGAAUUUAUGUGGUAAGUUUCUAGAGGAUUCAGAUCUAUUUAAGGGUUGUAUUCCUCAUUCUGAAGGGAAUCAGAUCAUAGAAUCAAUCAAAAAUUUCUCUGAUUUAUUAUCGAAUUCCCUCUUGGGUAUUCAGCUUCGAGCUUGGUUCGUAUUAUUUUCAUUGUCUAAAUGAAGAUUUAGGCUUGUUGUUUGUGAUCCCCACUGCGUCACUGGUCCAAUCCAUCUCUUGAUUUGCACAUUUAGGUCAUUUGGUACGUGUCCCAUACUUCGAUAGAAUUUUUGUUGCACGAUGUUGGGAAAAACCAACUUAACUGGAAUGAUCCACCUACACACAUUCUAUGCCAUUUGAUUAGUGGUUUGAUAGAAAAUGCAACUGUGAUGUCUACAAAUAUUAUCUAGGUCAUUUUCGUAGAUACAUAUUAAACUAGUCCGUUAUUUGAAGCUUGCUUCAUGGUGUAUACAACGCAUCAAAUUUGAAUAGGACUAAAUCUUGAUAACUAAGGUUUAUUGA
Molecule: non-coding RNA, 1106 nt
Organism: Punica granatum (pomegranate)
Lineage: Eukaryota; Viridiplantae; Streptophyta; Magnoliopsida; Myrtales; Lythraceae
Source: RefSeq, a predicted model, not a curated record